CACCCAGCAACCCGUGACGCGCAGCGGGCGAGGUCGGCCACUGGCCACCGGGCACAGCGGCCUGGAGAGGGACCCCUGUCCCGAGGCCGGACGUGCAGGCACCUCCCCCGCGCCCCCGCCCCGAGGCCACUCGCCCGGCCGCCCCUUCCUCCGGCUCCUCGCCAUCCCCGCCCAGGUCCCGCAGUCCGGGGUCGGCGGUCCCGCCGCGUGGCAGCCGCGCGGCACCUGGAGAGUCGGCUGGCGACCGAUUUCCUCCUGGACACAGAACCCUCUGCUUCCUGGGUGAGCCUCAGCAUGGGGUAAGCCUUGAAGGGGCGUGCCCUAGCACUCAAGCACCCAGACAACCUGCACCCUAGACCAGGAUCUGUUAUUGCACACCUGUUAUGGACGGACAUGGUACCCGUGCUCA
This 409-nucleotide long non-coding RNA is filed under the name Dasypus novemcinctus (nine-banded armadillo). RNAcentral's name for it is "lncRNA (ENSDNOG00000052877.1)". The record is from RNAcentral. Lineage: Eukaryota; Metazoa; Chordata; Mammalia; Cingulata; Dasypodidae.